RNAcentral lists this small nucleolar RNA (85 nucleotides) under Sungouiella intermedia. RNAcentral describes it as "Candida intermedia Small nucleolar RNA snR56". It matches the Rfam family "Small nucleolar RNA snR56". The record is from Rfam by way of RNAcentral. Lineage: Eukaryota; Fungi; Ascomycota; Pichiomycetes; Serinales; Metschnikowiaceae.
CACUAGGAUGAUAAAACACACAGACCUGAUCUGAACAGGACUUCGGUCCUAAUGCAGACAACCGAUAUUGCCUUUUUUGCUGAUG